RNAcentral lists this ribosomal RNA (731 nucleotides) under Acinetobacter sp. RNAcentral describes it as "bacterial SSU rRNA". It matches the Rfam family "Bacterial small subunit ribosomal RNA", at positions 55 to 782 of the family's 1533-position model. Lineage: Bacteria; Pseudomonadati; Pseudomonadota; Gammaproteobacteria; Moraxellales; Moraxellaceae. The record is from RNAcentral.
AUGCAGUCGAGCGGAGAUGAGGUGCUUGCACCUUAUCUUAGCGGCGGACGGGUGAGUAAUGCUUAGGAAUCUGCCUAUUAGUGGGGGACAACAUUCCGAAAGGAAUGCUAAUACCGCAUACGCCCUACGGGGGAAAGCAGGGGAUCUUCGGACCUUGCGCUAAUAGAUGAGCCUAAGUCGGAUUAGCUAGUUGGUGGGGUAAAGGCCUACCAAGGCGACGAUCUGUAGCGGGUCUGAGAGGAUGAUCCGCCACACUGGGACUGAGACACGGCCCAGACUCCUACGGGAGGCAGCAGUGGGGAAUAUUGGACAAUGGGCGGAAGCCUGAUCCAGCCAUGCCGCGUGUGUGAAGAAGGCCUUUUGGUUGUAAAGCACUUUAAGCGAGGAGGAGGCUACUUAGAUUAAUACUCUAGGAUAGUGGACGUUACUCGCAGAAUAAGCACCGGCUAACUCUGUGCCAGCAGCCGCGGUAAUACAGAGGGUGCGAGCGUUAAUCGGAUUUACUGGGCGUAAAGCGUGCGUAGGCGGCUGAUUAAGUCGGAUGUGAAAUCCCUGAGCUUAACUUAGGAAUUGCAUUCGAUACUGGUCAGCUAGAGUAUGGGAGAGGAUGGUAGAAUUCCAGGUGUAGCGGUGAAAUGCGUAGAGAUCUGGAGGAAUACCGAUGGCGAAGGCAGCCAUCUGGCCUAAUACUGACGCUGAGUACGAAAGCAUGGGGAGCAAACAGGAUUAGA